RNAcentral lists this ribosomal RNA (212 nucleotides) under uncultured bacterium. RNAcentral describes it as "partial 16S ribosomal RNA". It matches the Rfam family "Bacterial small subunit ribosomal RNA", at positions 28 to 240 of the family's 1533-position model. The record is from RNAcentral.
GACGAACGCUGGCGGCGUGCUUAACACAUGCAAGUCGAGCGGUAAGGCCCUUUCGGGGGUACGACGAGCGGCGAACGGGUGAGUAACACGUGGGUGACCUGCCCUCAGCUCUGGGAUAAGCCUGGGAAACCGGGUCUAAUACUGGAUAUGACUCCAUGACGCAUGUUGUGGGGUGGAAANCCUUGUGCGGCUGAGGAUGGGCCCGCGGCCUA